Molecule: ribosomal RNA, 305 nt
Filed under: uncultured bacterium
Lineage: Bacteria
Description: partial 16S ribosomal RNA
Rfam family: Bacterial small subunit ribosomal RNA
Source: RNAcentral
ACAGCAGUAGCCGCGGUAAUACGUAGGGCGCAAGCGUUGUCCGGAUUUACUGGGCGUAAAGCGUGCGUAGGCGGCUUUUUAAGUCGGAUGUGAAAUCCCUGAGCUUAACUUAGGAAUUGCAUUCGAUACUGGGAAGCUAGAGUAUGGGAGAGGAUGGUAGAAUUCCAGGUGUAGCGGUGAAAUGCGUAGAGAUCUGGAGGAAUACCGAUGGCGAAGGCAGCCAUCUGGCCUAAUACUGACGCUGAGGUACGAAAGCAUGGGGAGCAAACAGGAUUAGAUACCCCGGUAGUCCCUGUCUCUUAUAC